RNAcentral lists this ribosomal RNA (253 nucleotides) under uncultured bacterium. RNAcentral's name for it is "partial 16S ribosomal RNA". It matches the Rfam family "Bacterial small subunit ribosomal RNA", at positions 524 to 776 of the family's 1533-position model. The record is from RNAcentral.
UACGUAGGGGGCAAGCGUUGUCCGGAUUUAUUGGGCGUAAAGAGCGUGUAGGCGGCCAUGUAGGUCCGUUGUGAAAACUCGAGGCUCAACCUCGAGACGCCGAUGGAAACCAUGUGGCUAGAGUCCGGAAGAGGAGAGUGGAAUUCCUGGUGUAGCGGUGAAAUGCGCAGAUAUCAGGAAGAACACCCGUGGCUAAGGCGGGUCUCUGGGCCGAUACUGACGCUGAGGAGCGAAAGCGUGGGGAGCGAACAGG